GAUGAAGAACGUAGCGAAAUGCGAUAAGUAAUGCGAAUUGCAGAAUUCAGUGAAUCAUCGAAUCUUUGAACGCACAUUGCGCCGCUAGUAUUCUGGCGGGCAUGCCUGUCUGAGCGUCAUUUCAACCCUCGCCCCCGGCUUUUGCUGGGAGCGGUGUUGGGGAUCGGCCGCCCGUCACUGGGAGGCCGGCCCCGAAAUAGAGUGGCGACCACGCCGUGUGCUCCUCUGCGUAGUAGUAAAUCACCUUGCAGGCGGACAGCGGUGCGGCCUGCCGUAAAACCCCCAACUCUUUCUGGUUGACCUCAGAUCAGGUAGGAAUACCCGCUGAACUUAAGCAUAUCAAUAAGCGGAGGA
Molecule: unclassified non-coding RNA, 354 nt
Filed under: soil metagenome
Description: partial contains 5.8S ribosomal RNA, internal transcribed spacer 2, and large subunit ribosomal RNA
Rfam family: 5.8S ribosomal RNA (bases 1-119)
Source: RNAcentral